AAGCAGUGGGAGCACCCUUUGGGGUGUGACUGCGUACCUUUUGUAUAAUGGGUCAGCGACUUAUAUUCUGUAGCAAGGUUAACCGAAUAGGGGAGCCGGAGGGAAACCGAGUCUUAAUUGGGCGUUAAGUUGCAGGGUAUAGACCCGAAACCCGGUGAUCUAGCCAUGGGCAGGUUGAAGGUUGGGUAACACUAACUGGAGGACCGAACCGACUAAUGUUGAAAAAUUAGCGGAUGACCUGUGGCUGGGGGUGAAAGGCCAAUCAAACCGGGAGAUAGCUGGUUCUCCCCGAAAGCUAUUUAGGUAGCGCCUCGUGAAUUCAUCUCCGGGGGUAGAGCACUGUUUCGGCUAGGGGGCCAUCCCGGCUUACCAACCCGAUGCAAACUGCGAAUACCGGAGAAUGUUAUCACGGGAGACACACGGCGGGUGCUAACGUCCGUCGUGAAGAGGGAAACAACCCAGACCGCCAGCUAAGGUCCCAAAGUCAUGGUUAAGUGGGAAACGAUGUGGGAAGGCCCAGACAGCCAGGAUGUUGGCUUAGAAGCAGCCAUCAUUUAAAGAAAGCGUAAUAGCUCACUGGUCGAGUCGGCCUGCGCGGAAGAUGUAACGGGGCUAAACCAUGCACCGAAGCUGCGGCAGCGACGCUGAUGCGUUGUUGGGUAGGGGAGCGUUCUGUAAGCCUGCGAAGGUGGCCUGUGAGGGUUGCUGGAGGUAUCAGAAGUGCGAAUGCUGACAUAAGUAACGAUAAAGCGGGUGAAAAGCCCGCUCGCCGGAAGACCAAGGGUUCCUGUCCAACGUUAAUCGGGGCAGGGUGAGUCGACCCCUAAGGCGAGGCCGAAAGGCGUAGUCGAUGGGAAACGGGUUAAUAUUCCCGUACUUGGUGUUACUGCGAAGGGGGGACGGAGAAGGCUAUGUUGGCCGGGCGACGGUU
This 931-nucleotide ribosomal RNA is filed under the name Salmonella enterica subsp. enterica serovar Montevideo. RNAcentral describes it as "partial 23S ribosomal RNA". It matches the Rfam family "Bacterial large subunit ribosomal RNA", at positions 568 to 1503 of the family's 2925-position model. The record is from RNAcentral. Lineage: Bacteria; Pseudomonadati; Pseudomonadota; Gammaproteobacteria; Enterobacterales; Enterobacteriaceae.